GAUGAACGCUGGCGGCGUGCCUAAUACAUGCAAGUCGAACGAGGUGCUUUUGUAGCAAUACGAGAGUAUCCUAGUGGCGAACGGGUGAGUAACGCGUUGGUGACCUACCCCAAAGUGUGGAAUAACAGUCCGAAAGGAUUGCUAAUACCGCAUGUGGUUAUCGGGUUUAGAAACUGAUAACUAAAGGAGCAAUUCGCUUUGGGAGGGACCUGCGUCCCAUCAGCUAGUUGGUGAGGUAAUGGCUCACCAAGGCUACGACGGGUAGGGGACCUGAGAGGGUGACCCCCCACAAUGGAACUGAAACACGGUCCAUACACCUACGGGUGGCAGCAGUAGGGAAUAUUGCACAAUGGGCGAAAGCCUGAUGCAACAACGCCGCGUGCACGAUGAAGGCCUUCGGGUCGUAAAGUGCUUUUCUGGGAGAUGAGAAAGGACAGUAUCCCAGGAAUAAGUCUCGGCUAACUACGUG
Molecule: ribosomal RNA, 469 nt
Filed under: uncultured bacterium
Lineage: Bacteria
Description: partial 16S ribosomal RNA
Rfam family: Bacterial small subunit ribosomal RNA
Source: RNAcentral